AAUUUUCAAAAAUACAAAAAGUAACCAACUCAUCCUGUAUAAUUCAAAAGCAGUCCACCUUCCUAUCGCGAGCUCGCUCCUUCCUCUCCUCCGUGUUCAGAAGUUUCAUCUCACCAUGUUUCACUCUCUCCCUUGAAGCAAACAGCAAAGCUCGCGUUCCGUCGGUGGAUCUUCCCACACCCUUCUCCUACGCUGCCUUGUUUAUCCGCUCCUUCCCUCCCGUCUCUGUUCCUGCGAGCCUACCCUAUCAACACCAUCCUUCUAUUGAUCAUCGUGCGUGCGAAGAAGAUGAUCAGCAUCCGAUGGUAGCGGCGGGGCGUCAGCCUUGUGCGCAGUUCUUAAGACGUGCCUUGCAGAGGGAUGAUGAGACGAAGCGCUCAUGUGAGUGUUUGUGUCGUCUCUGAUACUGAUGCAGGUGUUAGCAACCCGAAGAAGCCUCCUGUGUGCGCGAAUGGGGUGGUUCUGCGGUGGAGAUUUUAUGGCCUUCUUGGUUCGCUCUCUGGUGUAAGAACGUCAUUUGCGUCAUGCGAACAACAUGUUUGAUGAUAUGUUACAGUGAGGUCUCUCUUUUUGUAUGACAAGUGACACUUUAUACGCUCUUUGAUAAGGAGCGAAAAAGGGGCGUUUUAGUUGUUGGGUAGAUGAAUUAAACAGUACGUAAGUUUGCAGGUGGAAUGAGCAUGACAGUGUCUGUGCCGCCGAACAAGAUACCAUAGUAGCAUCUGUCUCCCCUUGAUGUUAUUACAUAGGAAGAAUAAAAAUGCUUCUAAAAAUAAUGAUGACAUGCAAAUAAGCAUUCUUUUGGCUGAGGCGAUAAACGGAGCACUGUUUCUGGUCAAGAAAAUGCUGGCCUGUCUGUUUGAUGGGGAUAGAAAUGGAGAACAGACAAGUUUCUUCUUUGGAAAAUUGAUAAUGAAUCACUGUGGUGCACCCUAGGGAGCAGGUUUUAUCCCUCUAUCAUUGCUGAACAACUAUUUAUGUUGAAGUUAUCCAACUACCUCUCACACAAGAAGGCUCCUCAGGCUACAACCAUUCAUCUUUCAGGAACUUGUAUAGAUUGGUGCGUUUUAUUUUUUUCUCUACUUAUGUAUCUUGUUAAAAAACCCUCUUGCCAUUUUCUACAGCAAAAUUUAUAAGGUCGUUUUUACUUAUGAUAUUAAUACUGUGCUAGUUAUUAGUGUGUGCAUAUGUUAAUCUGUUAUGUUGUUUCUCUCUGCAAGUGCAUUCGUUUCUGAAAUUUUGCUUGCUAUCUUCAGUAUAUGGUGCACUAGGAGCAUUUAUGUUUUGGGAACUAAAUAGCAUAGACUGAUUUGCUACCUUACCUUUAAAACUAGAAAAUGUCAGUCCCCUAGGUCUCUACGUAACUCAUUCAUUGAAGAAUCCAUACAUUGUCUUCAUGGCAGCAAUGCUAGUUCGUGUAGUAUGUUAUACACUGGAUAGAGUAUAGAUUCUGUCUGCUGCUAGCUGGCACUUAAAUGCAUCAAACCCUAAAGGGAAUAAAGAUUGUUCAUUUUAUUUCAUAUAAAGGAUGCUCUCUCUCUCUCUCUCUCUCUCUCUCCUCUCUCUCUCUCUCAUGUAAUCCAAUGUUCAGUUAUUUUUAUGUGCAGUAACAGUCCUACCAAUGUGUUCGUAUGGAGUAAAAUUCUGAAACAGUCAUUUUCAUUAUUAAAGAUAUCGUGUCAAUGUUAGUUGAGUAUAGUUCAAGAAACAAGCAUUAUUGAAUGUUGGAAACAAUGUCAGUGGAGGUGCUAAUCAAUUGGAUGCUUGUCUGGACCUUGAUGAGCUUUCAUAAACUCUAUUAGGUCAGAAGGUGCAGGAGGACCUUGAUUCAUUUUAAAACUCUCCUUCCAGCAUUUGGAGAUGAAUUCACAGGGAUUAGCCAUGAACAAACCUUUUUGUUCCAUCCAGUAAAUAAUCUCUAAUAUUGUUCUUAGUCCAGUCUAUUAAUUCAAAGUUCAGAUAUAUUUUUAAGUGGAGUUGCAGCCAAUGUGUCAGUAUAGAAUAACAUCAUGAAAUGGUUAUCAUCUUUAUUAGAGAUACUUUGUUCAUAUUGGCUAUGUGCAGCAGAAAUAGAGGAUUUCGUUGUUAAAAAGGAAUUGAUGUUGUUGAGAGAUGUUUGGGUGACUGUUAUAUCUAUAAAGCAAUGUUGUCAAGAGACAUACAGGUGCUCAGACAAGGCGAGACAUUCAACCAAGUGUCACUUAGGCGAGCACCUCAGUUGAGGUACUAGGUGAUCGAAUGCUCUGUAACCUUGAUUGAGCUUCUGACCCAAAACUUUGUACCCCAAAAAGCUUCCCCUCCG
RNAcentral lists this long non-coding RNA (2302 nucleotides) under Musa acuminata (dwarf banana). RNAcentral describes it as "long non-coding RNA (MACU_LNC006278)". The record is from RNAcentral. Lineage: Eukaryota; Viridiplantae; Streptophyta; Magnoliopsida; Zingiberales; Musaceae.